Molecule: ribosomal RNA, 253 nt
Filed under: uncultured bacterium
Lineage: Bacteria
Description: partial 16S ribosomal RNA
Rfam family: Bacterial small subunit ribosomal RNA
Source: RNAcentral
GACGAACCGUGCGAACGUUAUUCGGAAUCACUGGGCUUAAAGGGCGCGUAGGCGGGCCCGCAAGUCAGGGGUGAAAUCCCACGGCUCAACCGUGGAGGUGCCUUUGAUACUGCGGGCCUGGAGGGAGGUAGGGGCGUGCGGAACUUCCGGUGGAGCGGUGAAAUGCGCAGAUAUCAGGAGGAACACCAGCGGCGAAGGCGGCAUCCUGGACUGGUCCUGACACUCAGGAGCGAAAGCGUGGGGAGCGAUCCGG